AUGCAGUGGGAUGAAGCAAUCCAUGGGUCUUAGGAAAAGAUAGGCAAUUAGUUGGAGUGAAGGACUUUUAAAUGGCCUUCCUCCAAAUACAAUUUUAAGUUUGUUCAUACUCUGCCAAUUUCAAAUGCAGCAAAAAAGGGAAGUGUUUAUGGAUUGAUAAUCACACGAAUAGCAAAGGAUGUUGGCAAAAGCAUGGCGAACCGGCAAGUCACAAAACGGCAAUGGACUCCGUUUUGGAGUCUU
Molecule: small RNA, 243 nt
Filed under: Nicotiana sylvestris (wood tobacco)
Lineage: Eukaryota; Viridiplantae; Streptophyta; Magnoliopsida; Solanales; Solanaceae
Also listed under: 1 other name
Description: Early nodulin 40
Rfam family: Early nodulin 40
Source: Rfam by way of RNAcentral